UCAAUUUGACGAUUAGUAGUCUCGUCAAGAUGUGAAAAUUUAUCGUUUGUUCGCUCAAUAUGAAUGAAUCUUAUCUACAUUCGUGCUUCUGGAAUUCAUUACAUUUCGCUGAAGAUUUUUCGUUGUUCACCUCUUAUCAAAAUUCUCAUAAAUUCUUCGUAUUGCUGAUUGCCUUGCAUAUCAGUGCAUUGGUUAUGUUCUACGCGAACGUAUUAUUCUGCAGAGACGUGGAUAUACUGCUCAAUCAAACAGAUGAAUGCAUAAAAGUUAUUAAAAUCAAACUAAAAUCCAUCCAAUCGGAUCAUAAGAAGUUGACCAAUAUUAAAAAACGAACGGAAGAGCAAACGGAGACUUGUCGCAAAUGUGAACAUAUGAUUUCAAUGCUGCGUACUGCUUGUGUAAAUAACUUUAGAAACAUAUCAGAAAUUAACAGCGAAAACUGACGUAUAAAAAUUAAGACAACUUUAUCUUGUUGGAUAUAUGGAAGUGAACAAUAUUAAAAACUAAUGGUGAUUUUCUACAACAAGCAAUUAUCACAAUUUUCAUCUGAGUUAUUUCACAAGUAAUCGUGCUACGACUUCAAUUUGUAUUUCUACACCAAUUGGGCUACAUAUAUUAAUUCAUUUUA
Molecule: long non-coding RNA, 628 nt
Organism: Papilio polytes (common Mormon)
Lineage: Eukaryota; Metazoa; Arthropoda; Insecta; Lepidoptera; Papilionidae
Exons: 2
Source: RefSeq, a predicted model, not a curated record